GGGGGAGGCCCAAUGAAAAAAGGAGAGUGAAAGGCAAGGGACAAAUCAGAAAAGAGAGAGAAGGAGAGGGACAAAGAUAGAGGAAGGGUUGGUGGAGUCUUCUUCUUUCCCUCAGUUUUCUUUUUUGCAGCUCCAAAACGAAGGAGGAAGGAGACGAAGAAGGAAUUCGUAAAAUUCUGUUUGUUGAGCUUUUGGUGACUGAAGAAAUAAACAAAGAAGGAGAGAUGGAGGACACAAUUGCAGCAAGAUUCGAUGGACUUCAUGUUGGUCCAGUCAUUAUGAUGUCCUUCAGAUUAGCAAGAUUACCAAGAGAUUAUACAUAUAAAUGGUGUUGUCGACGCUUGCUACAUAUAUAUUUGAAUUGAAACUGCCACGAUAUAUUUGGAGUUCUUGGUUUUGUUUAGGGUUUUCUACCAUUCAAUGAAGCAGUCUGAACAUGAAUCAAUGGUGAGAUGCAUGUCGUUGUCUAACUCAUCUUCAGCUCUGUCUCUUUCACUCUUGAGGUACCUGCUGUUGGAGUACGUUUGCUGUUGUCGAUCUACAGGUAAUCAGGUAUUGCAUAUUUUGAAAACUUCGAUUAAUUUUUUCAUGUUCUUUUCUGGUGAGAAGGUUAGGGAUAAGCUCUGCACCCAAACUCGAGAGUGACCCACCCUGUUUGCUCUGUUUUUGGAUUUCAUUUUUUAAUUUGAUAUUUUGUUUGCAGCCACUGGAAAGAGGCCGCAUGAAAAUUUCUCUUCUGGGAGUUAUGAAGGAGUUAGGGAGGAAGAACAGAGUCUUGCCGUCAGAUUUAGCUCUUCUAGAGGCAGUGUUGGCGUUUAGAUGAUGAGGAAGUAGGCGCUGAGGAGGAAAUGGCGAAGUUGGAGGACCAAAAGGUCCAUAUGAAAGCCGAAGAAUCCAAAGGAACUGCGGUCCAGUGGCUGGAUAGAAGAAAAGGACAAUGCAUGCUCUCUCUCUCUCACGGUAGCUCCGUGUUCCUCUCCCCCCAAACCUAAUGGCUUCGGCCCAAUUCGGAGCCUGCUCGGAUCGGGACCUCUUGGAGAUUCGGAGCUCCAGAUGGUAGCAAAUUUGCUAUGUCAACUCCUACAAGGAAGAGGCUGAUGAGAGACUUCAAGAGGCUGCAACAAGACCCGCCCGCAAGGAUUAGCUGGGGGCCUCAGGAUAACAAUAUAAUGUUGUUGACGAGGUUAGUUAUAUUUUAGGCUCUACUUCUGCAAAUGUGAACUCUUUACGUGGAUACCUAAUUUUAUGUGAGUUUUAAUAGUUAUAUAUCAAACUCCACUGCACUAAACUCUGUGAACAAUUAUAAUUAGAACUUGGAUGAAAUGGGUUCCAUCCAGCAAAACUCUUGCCCUAUUAAAAAAAUAUAAAAAACUUAAAGAAAAUUUGAUAAUUUCUCAUAGUUUAGGCCAUUUAUCCAAGUCAGAAUGAGAAACACAGAUGUUUUCUGUAUCUUUAGGCUAUAUUUUUAGCUGUAAAUCGUAUGGAGUAAAUCUCUUGGUGUCAUUCUAAAUAGACUGGAAAUAUGUCUCAAGCAAAAUUUACGUUGAUGUUUAUCAAUGGAAAUAAGUUUUGAAGUGAUUACCUUUCUUUAUACAAGUUCUCUUCACAAAGAAACCUAUAUUAUGGUUUCACUUUUACUUGCUUUGGCACGGGGGGAGGUGUCUGGUCAUGUAAUUGGCGUGUCAUUACACACUACAUUUUUAUUAUCCUUAUCUUCUAUAUUAAUAUCACCAUUCUCACCCGAAGGUUGCCUCUUCCAAGUCGGUAUUUGAUGAUCUCCAAUCCCUUUUGUGUGAUUUCUCUGAUUUGAAUCUCGGAUGGUUCCUCAGGGAGGGCAGAUUUUUGGGUUUUUGGUUUUUAGGACCCUUCAAUUUUGUUUUGUUUUAACUUUUGAGGUAUGAUUUUAUAGAAAUUAACGGUUGGAAUUAACUUUGGUAAUCUUGAUUUUGGUUUGGUUCAGCUAGGGUGUAGUUGAGUCCACUUAUUAGUUAUUAAGAACUUAAUAUAUAUGUAGUUGUCCUGUUUGGCUUUGGCGUUUUGAUUGGGUGUUUGUUUGGAUUUUGGGAAUUACCAUUGAUAGAUAGCAUUCAAGCAAGAUGCAUAACUCAUACCCACAUUUUUUUUUCAUAUUCCUUUUCUGCCAUCUCUUAUUUAGAUUUGUGUAAUUGGUUGGCUCAAAGAUGGUUUACAAGGCAAGGCUCUAUAUUCAUCUUCAGAUUGGUCCAUAUAUUUGUUCAGAAUGGAAUUUUGGGUAAUGAUCAUUUUCCUCAGCAGUUUGUUGUUUCAUCAAAGAUAUAGUCCGACAAUUGCUCGGGUGACAAUGUCCUUUGGUGACUGGUUGGAUUAGCCCACUUUUUUGUUGGUAUAUAUUUUCUUAUGUGGCUUUCUGUAUAUAUUAGACUUCUUCUACUGUAAUUUAACAGAUUUAAUAGUUACUUCAUUCAAUGAAUAGCUCUUCGGUAUCCAUUUUGAAAUCA
Molecule: non-coding RNA, 2477 nt
Organism: Malus domestica (apple)
Lineage: Eukaryota; Viridiplantae; Streptophyta; Magnoliopsida; Rosales; Rosaceae
Source: RefSeq, a predicted model, not a curated record